AUGAACGCUAGCGACAAGGCCUAACACAUGCAAGUCAGGGGCAGCACAAGGAGCAAUCUGAGGUGGCGACCGGCGCACGGGUGAGUAACACGUAUGCAACCUGCCUGUAAGCGGGGAAUAACCCGUUGAAAGACGGACUAAUACCGCAUAAUACUAAAUUACUGCAUGGUAAUUUAUUUAAACAUUUAUGGCUUACAGAUGGGCAUGCGCAUGAUUAGCUAGUUGGAGAGGUAACGGCUCCCCAAGGCAACGAUCAUUAGGGGUUCUGAGAGGAAGGUCCCCCACACUGGUACUGAGACACGGACCAGACUCCUACGGGAGGCAGCAGUGAGGAAUAUUGGUCAAUGGACGAGAGUCUGAACCAGCCAAGUCGCGUGCAGGAAGAAUGUCCCUAUGGAUUGUAAACUGCUUUUGCAGGGGAAUAAAGUGCAUCACGUGUGAUGUUUUGUAUGUACUCUGCGAAUAAGGAUCGGCUAACUCCGUGCCAGCCGCCGC
Molecule: ribosomal RNA, 495 nt
Filed under: uncultured bacterium
Lineage: Bacteria
Description: bacterial SSU rRNA
Rfam family: Bacterial small subunit ribosomal RNA
Source: RNAcentral